This 148-nucleotide non-coding RNA is filed under the name Nomascus leucogenys (northern white-cheeked gibbon). The record is from Rfam by way of RNAcentral. Lineage: Eukaryota; Metazoa; Chordata; Mammalia; Primates; Hylobatidae.
GCCGGGCGUGGUGGCGCAUGCCUGUAGUCUCAACUACUAGGGAGGCUGAGGCAGGAGAAUCGCUUGAACCCAGGAGGCGGAUGUUGCAGUGAGCCGAGAUCGCGCCACUGCACUCCAGCCUGGGUGACAGAGCGAGACUCUGUCUCAA